RNAcentral lists this ribosomal RNA (445 nucleotides) under uncultured bacterium. RNAcentral describes it as "bacterial SSU rRNA". It matches the Rfam family "Bacterial small subunit ribosomal RNA", at positions 354 to 796 of the family's 1533-position model. The record is from RNAcentral.
GUGGGGAAUUUUGGACAAUGGGGGCAACCCUGAUCCAGCAACGCCGCGUGAGGGAUGAAGGUUCUCGGAUUGUAAACCUCUUUUGCAGGGGACGAAUCCGUCCGUGAAUAACGGACAAUGACGGUACUCUGCGAAUAAGCCACGGCUAACUACGUGCCAGCAGCCGCGGUAAUACGUAGGUGGCAAGCGUUACUCGGAAUUACUAGGCGUAAAGCGCAGGUAGGCGGUGCGGUAAGUCCGUAAUGAAAUCUCCCGGCUUAACUGGGAGGGGUUUAGGGAUACUGCCGUGCUCGAGUGUGGGAGAGGUCACUGGAAUUCCUGGUGUAGCGGUGAAAUGCGUAGAGAUCAGGAGGAACACCUAUGGCGAAAGCAGGUGACUGGCCCAAUACUGACGCUGAGCUGCGAAAGCUAGGGGAGCAAACAGGAUUAGAUACCCUUGUAGUCC